ACUGGAAUAACCAGACAAGCAGAUGCACGUGACAGAAACAGAAUCCAGAGGCUAUUGAUAAACAGGUGAUACAGGUCACAGCUGUACCAGGAACGGCCGACGGUGUGCUGGAAUUCAGGCGGGUGCGUAGCGCGUAUGCAACCAGCCCCGACCAGGCGGAUAGCCGGUGGAAACGCCGGAUAAUACGCCAUGAGCCCGGAGGGGGGCAUCCCCAGCCGGGCAAAGCGGAUACGCGGGACGGGACGGGCAUGCGUGCCAUUAGCUUGUUGGCGGGGCGACGGCCCACCAAGGCUACGAUGGCUAGGGGAUCUGAGAGGACGGUCCCCCACACUGGUACUGAGACACGGACCACACUCCUGCGGGAGGCAGCAGUAAGGGAUAUUGGGCAAUGGGGGGAACCCUGACCCAGCCAUGCCGCGUGAGGUAAGAAUGCCCUACGGGUCGUAAGCCUCUGUUACACGGGGACAAGGACGGCGUCGUGAACGCCGUUUGAGGGUACCGUGGGAAUAAGCGUCGGCUAACUCCGUGCCAGCAGCCGCGGUAAUACGGAGGACGCGAGCGUUAUCCGGAUUCAUUGGGUUUAAAGGGUGCGCAGGCGGCCGUGCAAGUCAGCGGUGAAAGCCCGGGGCCCAACCCCGGAAGUGCCGUUGAUACUGCAUGGCUUGAAUGCGGUCGAGGCGGGCGGAAUGUGGUGUGUAGCGGUGAAAUGCAUAGAUAUGCCACAGAACGCCGAUAGCGAAGGCAGCUCGCCAGGCCUGCAUUGACGCUCGGGCACGAAAGCGUGGGGAUCGAACA
This 795-nucleotide ribosomal RNA is filed under the name uncultured bacterium. RNAcentral's name for it is "bacterial SSU rRNA". It matches the Rfam family "Bacterial small subunit ribosomal RNA", at positions 69 to 774 of the family's 1533-position model. The record is from RNAcentral.